UAGGGAAUCUUCCGCAAUGUGCGAAAGCCUGACGGAGCAACGCCGCGUGAGUGAUGAAGGUCUUCGGAUCGUAAAACUCUGUUAUUAGGGAAGAACAAAUGUGUAAGUAACUAUGCACGUCUUGACGGUACCUAAUCAGAAAGCCACGGCUAACUACGUGCCAGCAGCCGCGGUAAUACGUAGGUGGCAAGCGUUAUCCGGAAUUAUUGGGCGUAAAGCGCGCGUAGGCGGUUUUUUAAGUCUGAUGUGAAAGCCCACGGCUCAACCGUGGAGGGUCCUUGGAAACUGGAAAACUUGAGUGCAGAAGAGGAAAGUGGAAUUCCAUGUGUAGCGGUGAAAUGCGCAGAGAUAUGGAGGAACACCAGUGGCGAAGGCGACUUUCUGGUCUGUAACUGACGCUGAUGUGCGAAAGCGUGGGGAUCAAACAGG
RNAcentral lists this ribosomal RNA (429 nucleotides) under Actinomycetes bacterium. RNAcentral describes it as "Actinobacteria bacterium partial 16S ribosomal RNA". It matches the Rfam family "Bacterial small subunit ribosomal RNA", at positions 355 to 776 of the family's 1533-position model. The record is from RNAcentral. Lineage: Bacteria; Bacillati; Actinomycetota; Actinomycetes.